Molecule: small RNA, 498 nt
Filed under: Pongo abelii (Sumatran orangutan)
Lineage: Eukaryota; Metazoa; Chordata; Mammalia; Primates; Hominidae
Description: processed transcript
Source: RNAcentral
CUCGAGCCCAGAAAACUAUCCUCUAAGACCAGACGUGACAAGGAGAAGCAGAGCUGUAAGAGCUGUGGUGAGACCUUCAACUCCAUCACCAAGAGGAGGCAUCACUGCAAGCUGUGCGGGGUGCCAUGCUGAGGGGUGAGAGGUGGUUUCUGGUUAUGAAUUUGAUUUGCAUUUCCCUGAUGGCCAGUGAUGGGGCGUCUUCCCGUGUGCUUGGUGGCUCUUCUCACUCUUCCUCCCAUGCACACAAGACUCCUGGACUCUGGAUCCUCCAGGACAGGAGGGUCAUCUGCGGGAAGUGCUCCGAGUUCAAGGCCGAGAACAGCCGGCAGAGCCGUGUCUGCAGAGAGUGUUUCCUGACACAGCCAGUGGCCCCCGAGAGCCCCAGCCCCGAGGCUCCGGCCAAGCCCAGGCAGAGCACAGAGACACCCACUGCAGACCCCCAGCCCAGCCUGCUCUGUGGCCCCCUGCGGCUGUCAGAGAGCGGUGAGACCUGGAGUG